UACGAAGGGUGCUAGCGUUGUUCGGAAUUACUGGGCGUAAAGCGCGCGUAGGCGGCUAUUCAAGUCAGGGGUGAAAUCCUUGGGCUCAACCCAAGAAUUGCCUUUGAAACUGAAUAGCUAGAGUGUCGGAGGGGAUAGCGGAAUUCCUAAUGUAGAGGUGAAAUUCGUAGAUAUUAGGAGGAACACCGGUGGCGAAGGCGGCUAUCUGGACGACAACUGACGCUGAGGCGCGAAAGCACGGGGAUCAAACAGA
This 253-nucleotide ribosomal RNA is filed under the name uncultured bacterium. Its description in RNAcentral is "partial 16S ribosomal RNA". It matches the Rfam family "Bacterial small subunit ribosomal RNA", at positions 524 to 776 of the family's 1533-position model. The record is from RNAcentral.